RNAcentral lists this long non-coding RNA (1135 nucleotides) under Felis catus (domestic cat). RNAcentral describes it as "lncRNA (ENSFCAG00000050216.1)". The record is from RNAcentral. Lineage: Eukaryota; Metazoa; Chordata; Mammalia; Carnivora; Felidae.
CAGGCAGGGAGGCCGGCCUUUGCCACCCGGGGCUAAGCUCCUGGAGGGGAGGGGGCAGAGGAUCAACAGGGAACAGGAAAGCAGGGGGCACCUGCGUCCAGUCCUGAGGAGGCCGGGAGCUGGCGCUGGCCAGUCGCUCCUGCCCAGCACAGUAAAAGGAGACAGAAAGCGGGCAGGGGAGGAAGGCUUUUUGAAGUGGGCCCGUAACUACCAAUUACAGAGAGUGCCGGAAUCUUGAUGCAAAUGCCUGAGACGCCAGAAGGUUCGAAUCCCCUUUGGAGAUCAGAAUCGCAGCUAACAGGAUUGAGACGGCACCUGUGUUCAGAGGCGACAGAAUCCUGGCCGCAAAGGCUGCCUUCACCUCUUCUGAGUUUCGGUAUGUGGGACGGUUAUUUAAUCUCUCCGAGCCUCAGUUUCCCACCUGUGUAGAAAGGGAUUAGCUGUCCCUCUCUCGGGAGCUCGACGGGAUCCCGUGUCGAAAGUCCCCCACCAGCCUCGCCCAGCUGCUUAGCUCCUGAGCCAGGAGGAGAACAGGGUGGUCCAGAGAGGAGUUCUGGUCCCCAGAAUCCUGCCACGAGUGGGCAAAGAGCCCCGGACGGAAAAGGAAGGGUAAGCUCUGUGUUUCUUGCUGCAUUAUUUGCUCUGGCCAAGAUAUGGGAAGCAACCUGAAAUCUGAAGGCACCGCCCAUGAUCGUGACACCUGCCUCGAAGUGAGAUGAUGGUGUGGAUUCGUAAUCAGCCUGUAGAGACCGCCACGACACGCCAAACGCUAGCCUCUCAUCCACAAUCCCAGGCUGACCUCGUUCCCCCCCCCCCCCCCCCCGUCCCCAAAGCCCCGGUGGGGACCAGUUAAGACACAAGCUCCCACUGAAAGCUCCAUUAGACCAAGGUCAGAAAGCUACCUCUUCACGUCUGAGCAGCCCUGGGCCACUGCAGACAGGAUAGUAAUUAGGUGCACAGGGAACCUCGGGGAACAGCGAGAGCCCUCCGUUUCCUAAUUCAGGGAGACCAGCAACCCGGAAAGUCUGAGAGGCCCUUGGACCGGCCACAGCCUUGUCAUGGGGACCCGCUUUCCUUUGCUGCCAUCUUGUGGUCGAAUUUCGGAAUAAAAGCCUGAACGGUGGGAGGGGUGCUC